AUGUGUUGAAUAAAAAUACUGGCGAAAAUCAACAAAAUAGCCUAAUAUAAUGAAAAUAAAGUAAUAAAAAAAUAAAAACUUAAAAUAAAAUGAAAUAAAAUCAAUAAAAAGAAUGCAAGGAAUGAAGUCUGGGAAAGAAACAAGGAAAAAUUGAGAAAAUCGAUGAAAACUGAAAAGGAAAGAAGAAAAAAUCAAAGAAAAUGGAGAAAGAACAAAAGAAUACCGAAAAACGAGUGAAAAGCAAGAAUAAAACUAAGAAAUCAAUUCAAAAAUAAAGGAAAAAACCAAAGAAAUCCCUAAAGACCAGAAAAGAUAAAGAAAAAACAAAGAAAGAAAACCAAAGAAAA
This 347-nucleotide long non-coding RNA is filed under the name Hordeum vulgare. Its description in RNAcentral is "long non-coding RNA (HVUL_LNC005148)". Lineage: Eukaryota; Viridiplantae; Streptophyta; Magnoliopsida; Poales; Poaceae. The record is from RNAcentral.